This 276-nucleotide ribosomal RNA is filed under the name uncultured soil bacterium. RNAcentral's name for it is "partial 16S ribosomal RNA". It matches the Rfam family "Bacterial small subunit ribosomal RNA", at positions 26 to 285 of the family's 1533-position model. The record is from RNAcentral.
AGAAUCAACGCUGGCGGCGUGCCUCAGACAUGCAAGUCGAACGCGAAAGUCCCCUUCGGGGGGCAAGUAGAGUGGCGCACGGGUGAGCAACACGUAGGUAAUCUACCUUCGGAUGGGGAAUAACAACCGGAAACGGUUGCUAAUACCGCAUAAUGCAGCGGCACCUAAUGGUGACAGUUGUUAAAGCGGGGGAUCGAAAGACCUCGCGUCUGAAGAGGAGCCUGCGGCGGAUUAGCUAGUUGGUAAGGUAAUGGCUUACCAAGGCGACGAUCCGUA